This 1165-nucleotide ribosomal RNA is filed under the name Gardnerella vaginalis. RNAcentral's name for it is "bacterial LSU rRNA". It matches the Rfam family "Bacterial large subunit ribosomal RNA", at positions 1757 to 2925 of the family's 2925-position model. Lineage: Bacteria; Bacillati; Actinomycetota; Actinomycetes; Bifidobacteriales; Bifidobacteriaceae. The record is from RNAcentral.
ACACUGUUGAGCUGUUGGGGGUGGCACAAGCUAGGGGGUAGCGACUGUUUACCAAAAACACAGGAGCGUGCGAAGGCGUAAGCCGCUGUAUACGCUCUGACGCCUGCCCGGUGCCGGAAGGUUAAGAGGAUCCGUUAACUUCGGUGAAGCGGUGAAUUUAAGCCCCGGUAAACGGCGGUGGUAACUAUAACCAUCCUAAGGUAGCGAAAUUCCUUGUCGGGUAAGUUCCGACCUGCACGAAUGGCGUAACGACUUCCCCACUGUCUCGGCCAGGAGCCCGGCGAAAUUGCAGUACGAGUAAAGAUGCUCGUUAAGCGCAGAAGGACGAAAAGACCCCGGGACCUUUACUAUACCUUGGUAUUGUCGUUAGGUGUGGAUCGUGUAGCAUAGGCGGGAGGCUGUGAAGCGUGGGCGCUAGCUUGCGUGGAGUCGACAGGUGAAAUACCGCUCUUUCCAUAUCUGGCGUCUAACCUCAGCACGUUAUCCGUGUUAGGGACAGUGCCUGGCGGGUAGUUUAACUGGGGCGGUUGCCUCCUAAAGAGUAACGGAGGCGCUCAAUGGUCCGCUCAGCCCGGUUGGCAAUCGGGUGUUGAGUGUAAUCGCACAAGCGGGCUUGACUGUGAGACUGACGGGUCGAGCAGGGACGAAAGUCGGAGAUAGUGAUCCGGUGCCGGCGUACGGACGUGGCAUCGCUCAACGGAUAAAAGGUACCCCGGGGAUAACAGGCUGAUCAUUCCCAAGAGUCCAUAUCGACGGGAUGGUUUGGCACCUCGAUGUCGGCUCGUCGCAUCCUGGGGCUGGAGCAGGUCCCAAGGGUUCGGCUGUUCGCCGAUUAAAGCGGCACGCGAGCUGGGUUCAGAACGUCGUGAGACAGUUUGGUCUCUAUCCUCUGCGCUCGUUGGAAUGUUGAGGAGACCUGCCCAUAGUACGAGAGGACCUGGGUGGACGAACCUCUGGUAUGCCGGUCGUCACGCCAGUGGCGCCGCCGGUUAGCUACGUUCGGAAGGGAUAACCGCUGAAAGCAUCUAAGCGGGAAGCCUGCUCCAAGAUAAGCAUUCCUUGCACUUUAGUGUGUGAGCCCCCAUGUAGAACACGUGGUUGAUAGGCUGGACGUGGAAGCCCUGUAAGGGGUGGAGCUGACCAGUACUAACGGGCGAUGGUGACA